Molecule: long non-coding RNA, 422 nt
Filed under: Setaria viridis
Lineage: Eukaryota; Viridiplantae; Streptophyta; Magnoliopsida; Poales; Poaceae
Description: long non-coding RNA (SVIR_LNC011132)
Source: RNAcentral
AGGGGAGAGAGAGAUAGAGGAGGAGGAUGAGGCCGGGUGCUGCUGCUAGCUUGCUUUAAAAUCGGGUGAGGAUGGAGGCGGGCGGACGGAUGGAUAAGGGUGGGGGAGCUCUUUAGUACCGAGUGGGGGCUCCACCCGGUACUAAAGGGGGUCAUGGGGGCUUCUCAAGAACUAUCCAUUAGGCCCGGUAAUAAUACUCACAUUAGUCCCGGGUCAAAAUGCAACUGGUACUAAGCCUCGGGACGAAUGCUCAGUUUUCCAGUAGUGUGAAGAUCUAAUCCAAUGCAUGUUUGACCCAUUCCGCUGAUGCAAGUGAAGGUAUCAGUGAGUAAUAGUUGGUCAGUCAUUUUUAUUCCACUUUUACUGCUUUGAAAUGAGGAUUAGUUUAAUUAAAUAAGUUUUGGGUCGACCCAAUGGUCUAG